CUGACUGGAUGAGUAUUCAACGUGUGUUAGAAUUUGAUUUAUUUCAAAUGCUUCUAAUAUUUUUUGUGAAGAAAUUUAUGAUGAUAUGUAGAAUUUUCUAUUGGUGUUUGAAAGUUGUAAUAAUGCCAACAUUAUUAGAAAAUUUCCUGAUUCCAUCAUUAAAUGAGAAUUCAUUUGGGCACCUACUAUCCUGGGUGGAUGAAGGGAAUGGUAUUCUGAAAGUGUUCUGGCAACAUAAAAACAGCAACCAAUGGAAGGGAGAUUUCGCAGUAUUCAAAGCUUGGGAUGCUAUGAAAGGAAGGAUGGGAACGGAAACUAACUUCAGAUACUUAACUCAAGCGAAACAGCGCUUCCGAGCGGCAAUGCUAAAGCACAACUCGCUAAAAUUACUAAAAUCAUCAGAAAAAUUCGGGUAUUACCAAAUACUGAAUUAGA
Long non-coding RNA from Argiope bruennichi, 435 nucleotides. RefSeq lists it as uncharacterized. NCBI's taxonomy places the organism in Eukaryota, Metazoa, Arthropoda, Arachnida, Araneae, Araneidae. The record is from RefSeq and is a predicted model, not a curated record. The transcript is spliced from 3 exons.